Molecule: long non-coding RNA, 1213 nt
Filed under: Anas platyrhynchos platyrhynchos (common mallard)
Lineage: Eukaryota; Metazoa; Chordata; Aves; Anseriformes; Anatidae
Description: lncRNA (ENSAPLG00000028306.1)
Source: RNAcentral
UGAACCUCAGAGCUCACAGAGCCGAAACGAGGGGCAGAACCCGCUGCAGGGCCACCCCAAAGGAUUCAGCAGCGGGUUCCUGCCGUGGGGGGGGGUCAGUACCUUGCACACACUUAAAGCGGCUGUUGAUGGGGAUGUAAUCCGGCUCCGCGCCCUCCCUGUCCUGCCACUGGAUAAGGAUCCUGGGGACACAGAGAGGCAGUGAGGAUGCAGAAGGGGCUCCCUGCUGGGGGGGGGGGGGAGAGCCGGGGGGGGGGGAGGGGAGGGGAGAGGGGGGGGGACACGGGGAGGGGAUGGGGACAGGGAAAAGGGAAGGGGACAAGGGAAGAGGAUGGGGACAGGGGAAGGGAAUGGGGACAUGGGAAGGGGACAGGGCUCGGCCCCGCGGGAGCAGCCCCAGCCCCAGCCCCAGCCCCAGCCCCAGCCCCCCGGGCCCGGGCCCUGUCCCCCCGCUCUCACCCGUAGCGGCCUCCCCGCUGCGCCAGGCUGAGCACGCACGGCUCCCGCCGCCCCCCCCGCACCUCCGCCCCGGGCAGGCCCCGCACGGCCCCCGGUGCCCCCCGCCGCCCCCUCCCGGCCAGGCCCCGGCCCGCGGCGGGCGGCUCCAUGGCGGCGGCGCCCCCCGUCUCCCGGCGACCCCGCGGCGGAGCCCGCCCCCCGCUCGCUACCCGCCCACCCGCCGCACUGCCCUCUGCCGGCGGGAGGAGCGAGAAGGAGGUGCGGAGGUGGGCGGGGCUACGGGAAGCCACGCCCCCAAGCGGGGAGAUGAUUGGGCGAGGCGGGUGCUCAUUUGCAUACAGCGCGGGGUAGGACGGGAAGUGGCGCGGUUUGAAGCGCGCGCGGUGGCGGCGGCGGCGCUGGAGCCAUGGAGGGGCCGGGGCGGGACCGGGACCCGAACCGGGAUCGGGACCGGGACCGGGAUCAGGAUCAGGACCGGGAGCAGAACCGGGAGCGGGAUCUGGAACAGAACCAGGAUCGGGACCGGGAUCAGGAUCGGGAGUACCGGCGGCUGGUGAGCGGUGCCAAGGAGGCAGCGGGCAGCGGGGACCUGGAGGCAGCGCUGCGGCUGUUCCAGCGGGCGGCUGCCAUCCGCCCCAGCGAGAAGCUCCGCGGCCGCAUGCAGAGGCUGGAGGAGGCGCUGGCGCAGCUGGCGGAGCAGGAGGAGGAUGAGGAGGGUGAGGAUGAAGAGGAAGGCCGCUUCGUGGAUGUGUGC